RNAcentral lists this long non-coding RNA (343 nucleotides) under Androctonus crassicauda. The record is from RNAcentral. Lineage: Eukaryota; Metazoa; Arthropoda; Arachnida; Scorpiones; Buthidae.
AUAAACAACCUUUAGAAGUAAGACCCGUAGUAGAAUGAUUCUCGGCACCCACUUAUAACAUAGAGAAAUGAUUAGCCAAAUGGUCGUAUGAUAAACUUAAAGGAUAUGACUAUACAAUGAUCUCCUCUAGGAGCCUAAUAGACGACAUCUUAGAGAAAGGACCUUUCCCAGAUCAGGUUUUUCAAGUUUUUGACUUUAAAUCGUUAUACCCAUCGAUAUAUCUUGAACCCGCAUGUCUCCUCCUAUAUAGAUUUCUACUUCAACAUCUACCGGAAGACCAACGUAACCCGAAGUUAUUAAGAGACAUUUGCCAUCUUCUAGUCCACCAGUCUUAUUUUGUGUU